AACGUAGGGGGCCAGCGUUGCUCGGAAUUACUGGGCGUAAAGGGUUCGUAGGCGGUGCGGCAAGUCGGGAGUGAAAUCUCUGGGCUUAACCCAGAGGCUGCUUCUGAAACUGCCGUGCUCGAGUGCGGGAGAGGCGAGUGGAAUUGCAGGUGUAGCGGUGAAAUGCGUAGAUAUCUGCAGGAACACCCGUGGCGAAAGCGGCGCGCUGGACCACAACUGACGCUGAGGAACGAAAGCUAGGGGAGCAAACAGG
RNAcentral lists this ribosomal RNA (253 nucleotides) under uncultured bacterium. RNAcentral describes it as "partial 16S ribosomal RNA". It matches the Rfam family "Bacterial small subunit ribosomal RNA", at positions 524 to 776 of the family's 1533-position model. The record is from RNAcentral.